AAGUCCAUCUCAGGAAAAACAAACAGACAAAAAAAACCCACUUGCCAGCCUUCCUACCCCUACCAUGUGCACCUCUGCCUUUACCCACCACUUUCACUAUACCUCUUCUCAAUGUGCACACAGAGCAUUAUUCACUUAUGUGCAUAAUGUUAUAAAAUUAUUUGGUGUUUUGAUAGACUGUUCAAAAUCAGGGAAAAAGCUGUGGGAAACAGAUGUAAUUGAGGUGAGUUUAUGCUAAGGGCAAAUUUCCAGCAAAGCUGGAUAGCCUACGUGAAAUCCACUCUUGCCCCCGAUCCUUAAUCUGCCCCCAAAAAUCUUCAUUUCAUUUCGUAACACUCUGAAAUCCCACCAGUUACAGACUUACUGGUAUCCCUUUUAAAAAAUGUAAACUAUAUGAAAGUUAAAGAGAUUAUUUACUAUUUGGACUCUGUGUAAAUUAAUUUAAUAGGACUAUUUUCCUCACAGAUUAGCUGAGAUCAACAGCACUACUGGAACUGGAAAUGCAGAUUAAAGGAGCACUGAAGCAAGCACUGGUUACGUAUGUAAUACUGGGAGUAAGUAGCUAACAUGGAAACCUGGUGAUACCAUGGCAGCACACUGUACGAGGAAGAACAUGGAUGGGCUCCUGAACACUCCUGGAUUUUAAUCUGGUUCUACCGCCUUUCCUGUGACCUUGCGCAAGUAACUUAACCUCUUCACAUCUCAAUUUGCUCUACUAUCAAGUAAGAUAAUAUUUCCCCACAAGGUUGUUAUGUAAGACAGAAUGACACAAGUGCCUUGCAUAUAACAGAUUCUUAAAAAAAAAAAAAAAAAAAAAAAAAGCCAGUUUACCUCUGUUCCAUGUUCAUUAUUGAGGCAAGAACAAAAGGCACCAAGGAAGAGAAAGGAGUGGACUGGGUAGAAAAGAAGGAUGCAAAAGAGAAACUCCUGAAAAUUCCUCCUUGAAAACCGGGUUCAAUCAGGAGAAGAGACAGGAUCUUGCUGUACUGCCAAGCCUGGAGUGCAAUGCCACAAUCAUGGCUAUAGCAGCCUCGAACUACUGGGCUCAAGUGAUCCUUCCACCACCAUCUUCCAAGUAGCUGGUACUAUAGGUGCAUGCCACCAUGUCCAGCUAAUUUUUUAGGUUUUUUUGUAGAGACAGGGCCUUGCUAUAUUGCCCAGGCUAGUCUUGAACUCCUGGCCUCAACCAAUCCUCCCACCUCAGCCUCCCAAAGUGCUAGGAUUACAAGCACGAGCCACUGCACCUGGCUUCUUUUUACUUUUUAAUGCAGUUAAAAAUUACAUGUAUGUAUUACAUCUGUAGCCCACAUUAUAAUUCCAUUGAAGAGUGCUGAGAUAUAAUAUUGAUGUAUUAUUUCCAUCAUAGAAACUUGGAACAUUUUUAUUAUUUAGAAACAUGCUAUUUUAUACAUACACUGUUAUCUAUACUUCCAAAGAUAGUAAGUACGUACUCAUAAGAAGCUAUAUGUACAAGUUUUCUUAUUAAUUUGCUUGCUACUUGGUCAUUUAUUUUAUCUCUUACUCCUUGCUAAGGGACAAGUGGUAGCAGUCUCUAAAGGUUUAAAAAUAAUUACGUAAAAACACCAGUAUGCUAUGGCCUGUUAGUCUGACAAACAAUGAAUUGAUGUCUAAAAAUAAAGAACACAUUGUAA
Molecule: long non-coding RNA, 1652 nt
Organism: Nomascus leucogenys (northern white-cheeked gibbon)
Lineage: Eukaryota; Metazoa; Chordata; Mammalia; Primates; Hylobatidae
Exons: 2
Source: RefSeq, a predicted model, not a curated record